Long non-coding RNA from Eriocheir sinensis (Chinese mitten crab), 3221 nucleotides. RefSeq lists it as uncharacterized. The record is from RefSeq and is a predicted model, not a curated record. The transcript is spliced from 3 exons. Lineage: Eukaryota; Metazoa; Arthropoda; Malacostraca; Decapoda; Varunidae.
UCAAAUGGAAGGAAGGAGAGAGGGAAGAGGGAUUACAGGUUACAAAAGAAGGGAAGGAAGAGGGAGAAAAAGGGUUACAAGUUAGAAAAGAGGUGUUGAAAGAGCAUACAAAUAGCAGACAAAGGUUCAGAAGUUAGAAUAGAGGUGGAAAUAGCAUUAAGUCAGGUAAGGGUGCCCAUACCUUGCGAGAUCGAUGUUACGUGUAAGACUCAAAGGGAAGGAAGGAGAGAGGAAAGAGGGGUUACAGGUUACAAAAGAAGGGAAGGAAGAGGCAGACAAAGGUUUAAAGGUUAGAAUAGAGGUGGAAAUAGCGUAAGGUCAGGUAGGGGGCCCCAUACCUUGCGAGAUCGAUGUUAUAAGUAAGAAUCAAAGGGGAGAAAGGAGAGAUGAAAGAAGGGUUACAGGUUACAAAAGAAGGCAAGGAAGAGGGAGAAAAAGGGUUACAAGUUAGAAGAAAGGCCUGGGAAUAGCAUAAGAUUAGGUAACGGGAGCCCAUACCGUACGAAAUCGAUGUUAUAAGCAAGAUUCAAAGGGACAGAAGAAGGAAGGGAAGGAGGAAGGGUUACAGGUUACAAGAGGGGCGUGGAAAUAGCAUAAGAUUACCUAUAAAGGAAACACAUACCGUACGAAAUCGAUGUUAUAAGUAAGAUUCAAAGGGACGGAAGGAGAAGGCAAGGGAGAAUGAGUUACAGGUUACAAUAGGGGCGUGGAAAUUGCAUAAGGUCAGGGCUAGAUGGAGUUACACGCGUGCAAAAGGGAAAUUGGAAAAGAGGGAAAACCGGAAAUGAAGUCGUGUGACGGCUCAGAGAUAAAGUAGAGUUAGGGUCGCGGAAAAGGGUUGGUGUUGGCGGCCUGAUGCGUGGCGGAGGGGAGGAAAUAAGGAAACUUGGGAUAAUUGUGCAGGAAGGGAUAUAUGUAUGCAGGUAACAAAAAGCAUAUAGAGUAAAAUGAAGGUAAUAACAUAGAGAAAAAAAGGGUACUGGUGGAUUAUCGAAAGGCUGAGAGGGAGAAAAUAAGGAAAGUCUUGGAUAAUUGUGCAGGAAAGGAUAUGUGUCCUGGUAACAAAAAGUGCAUAUAGAGUAAAAUGAAGGUAAUAACAUAGAGAAAAAAAGGGUACUGGUGGAUUAUCGAAAGGCUGAGAGGGAGAAAAUAAGGAAAGUCUUGGAUAAUUGAGCAAGAAGGGAUAUGUGUCCAGGUAACAAAAAGUGCAUAUAGAGUAAAAUGAAGGUAAUGAUAUUGAGCUAAAACUGAGAGCAAAAAGGGUAUUUGUGGAUCAAUGAAAGGCUGAGAGGGAGAAAAUAAGGAAGGUCUUGGAUAAUUGUACAAGAGGGGAUAUAUAUGUUCAGGUAACAAGCAGUAUGUAUAGCAAAAUGAAGGAAAUGAUAUUGAGCUAAAACUGAGAGAAAAAGAAGUUACUAGCGGAUUGAAUCAUGGCAAAGAGAGAGUAAAUAAGGAAAAAUUGCGAUAAUUGUACAGGAAGGGAUAUGUCCAGGUAACAAACAAUAUAUAUAGCAAAAUGAAACUAUAUACUAAAAGCUAAAACUGAGAGAAAAAAAAUUACUUGCAGUUUGAAUCAUGGUAAAGAGAGAGAAAAUAAGGAAAGUUUGGUAUAAUUGUCCAGGAAGGGAUGUGGUCAGGUAACAAAAAGUAUAUAUAGCAAAAUGAAGGUAAUGAUAUUUAGCUUAAACUAGUUAAUGAAAGUUACUAUAGUGAAUUAAUGAAAGGCCAACAGGGAGAAAAUUAAGUAAGUAUAGGAUAAUUAAGCGGGAAGGGAUGUCUUCAGCUAACAAAAAGUAUAUAUAGCAAAAUGAAGGUAAUGAUAUUUAGCUUAAACUAGUUAAUAAAAGUUACUAUAGUGAAUUAAUGAAAGGCCAACAGGGAGAAAAUUGCUUAAGUAUAGGAUAAUUAAGCAGGAAGGGAUGUCUUCAGCUAACAAAAAUUAUAUAAGAGGAGUGUAUCAAGGCACCUCUCCUCCCGAAAUUGACCUCUCUUUUGGCCACAUUGCUUUUGUGUUUGUUGGAGCAGCGAUUGGCGGGCUUUUUUUUACACUUUUUUUUACAGCAGAGUAAAAAAAAAAAGGAAACAAAUGGGGAAAAAAAAGCCCGGUACUCACUGCUCCUAAAAAGAGUUAGAGGAGUGGCCGAAAAGUAGGUAAAUUUCGGCUGUAAAAAAAAAGUGAAAUAUAGUUAAUAAUAUAUAACUAAGAUUAAUGAAAAAAAGGGAUAUUGAGAGGGGUAAUUCGAGCCAUGGAUGGAGGAAAUAAAGAAGGCUUAAGAUUAUUACUCAUGAAGGACCAUAUUCAGAUAGCAAAAGAAAAUUAUUAAAAGUGUAAAAUCUAGAGAUGAAUGCUUAGCUGAUUAAUUCAAGGACAAAAGCGUCUUAGCGAUAUGGAAGGGGAAGAACGAAAUGAACGUCGUGACAAUUAUUGAGAAAGGGAUUUAGUCAGAUAGCAAAAUUAAAUAACAUCUCAACAGAGGAAUACUGCGAAACGUGUAAGAAGGCAAAUUAAUGUUAGUAUGUUAUUAGCAAAUGCAUAAAUUAACGAAGUAGAGAGUUAUAUAGAUAAAAUAAAGCUUGGUUUAGAAUCUAGUAUGUUUUAUAUAAACUGCAUGAGAAACAAAAUUGGGUAGAAUGCAGAGAAAAAUUGGUAGCUUGUGUUAGAGAAAAAUCAUGAAAAUGUGAAAUGUUGAGAAAAGUGUUUAGAAUGUGUUGAGGUUAGCAUGUCUUAGGGAAUAUCCAUAAAAAGACGAAAAAUAGAUGUAAAGAAAAUUAUUUGAGUAGAUUAGCGGUUAGCAUGGUCAAAAGUCUACAGAGUGAUACAAAAAAAAUAAUUACUGAGAAAAGAAAAAAAUAGUUGUAGAGAAACUUAUUUGAAUAGAUUAGCGAUUAGCAUGGUCAAAAGAUUGCAAAGUGAUACAAAAAAAAUAAUUACUGAGAAAAGAAAAAAAUAGAUGUAGUGAAACUUAUUUGAGUAGAUUAGCGAUUAGCAUGGUCAAAAGAUUGCAAAGUGAUACAAAAAAAAAAAUUACUGAGAACAGAAAAAAUAGACGAUAGCUUUGAGGCCAGCAUGAUCUAAAGCAAAUAAACAAAAAAAAAUAAACCGAUAAUAUAUAAAAGGUAUGAAGGUGAGCAUGUCUUGAAUACCAAAGUCAGAACAAAUUACGGAGCUGUGAACAUAAAAACACAUCCCUGACACACUUUCCACCUCAAAAAAAAAGUCA